AUACGGAGGAUCCGAGCGUUAUCCGGAUUUAUUGGGUUUAAAGGGUGCGCAGGCGGGAGAUUAAGUCGGCGGUGAAAUUUUUCAGCUCAACUGUAAAAGUGCCUUCGAAACUGGUUUCCUUGAGUGUAGAUGAAGUAGGCGGAAUUUGUGGUGUAGCGGUGAAAUGCAUAGAUAUCACGAGGAACUCCGAUUGCGCAGGCAGCUUACUAAACUACUACUGACGCUCAGGCACGAAGGCGUGGGGAUCAAACAGGAUUAGAUACCCUGGUAGUCCACGCAGUAAACGAUGAUUACUAGCUGUUUGCGAUACAAUGUAAGCGGCUGAGCGAAAGCGUUAAGUAAUCCACCUGGGGAGUACGUUCGCAAGAAUGAAACUCAAAGGAAUUGACGGGG
RNAcentral lists this ribosomal RNA (393 nucleotides) under uncultured bacterium. RNAcentral describes it as "partial 16S ribosomal RNA". It matches the Rfam family "Bacterial small subunit ribosomal RNA", at positions 523 to 918 of the family's 1533-position model. The record is from RNAcentral.